CUAAAGCUAUGUGACAUGAUAUUGGGUGGUGAAAGCAGAAUAUUAAAUCUAGACUAACUAAGAGCAUCAACAAAGGAAAUGACACAGAAGCAAAGGGAGAUGAAGAUUAUCUUCGCUUUAUCUUUUUGGUAUUUUCAUAUUAUUUUAGAAACUAAAAUACACACACAGGACAUCAUCAUCGACAGAAAGGAAGUACCAAUAUAUGAUCACAAAUAUAACUAUUAGUUAUAUAUAAGAAGAAAAGCACAGAACAAAGAUAAUGGGACAAGGACAGAAAUGUUUAACACCACAGAAUUAUAUAUAUCACACAGGUAUUACAAACUGAAAAUUACUACGGCAACUACAACACACAGGGGAUAUAUAUAGCUAAUUAUUGAGCAUACAAACUGAGUGAUACAUGCCACAAUCCAGUUCACACAUCCACAAAUAAAGCAUAAGUCUGAAACUAAACAAGUAGGUUACUAACACUUAACAAAUCUGAAUGUUACACAUCAUAUAUGUCUCAAGUUAUUUCAGAGAGAGAGAUAGCAGUAGGUAGGUUAAGGGAAGUGUAGCAGGGGAAGUAGAGAGAGAUAGCAGCAGGAGGUUGAGGGCCGCGGCAGCAGCAGCAAGAGGAGAAGCAAAAAGGGGCGCUGGAGAUAGAGCAGCAGGAGGAGGCGCUGGAGAUGAGCAGCAUUAGCAUGGGGAUAAAGAGCAGCAGCAGUGUGGAGGGUUGAGAGAGCAGCGGGGCAAGGGGAUCAGCAGCAGGUUCAGCGAAGCAGAGGCAAGUACUAGAGAUUAAGAAGAGCAGCAGGGCCGUGGGGGACGAAGGGAGAUAGCAAGGGGGAUGGAGAGUAGUAGCAGUAGCAAAGAGGAAGAAUUGAGUGGAGAAGAGGAGAGUAGAGAGCAGAGGGUUGUCGCACGGAGCACCAGACACUGCCUCGCCCUCGUCUGGUCAGGCACGCCGGUGUAGGGUGGAGGUGCGGUGGAGGCGCUGGUGGUGCUGAUGGUGGGAGAGGGAUUGGAUGGAUGGUGGUGCUGGUGAGGUGCGGCGGCGAAGUGGAGCUGGUGGCGCUGGCGGCAGGAGGUGAUGGUGGCGCUGGGUGUUGGUGCUGGUGGGUGGAUGGGCUGCGGAGGCGCACCACCACGCCGGCCUGGCCGUGGCGGCGGCCGGAGGUGGUGAAGGAGUGGUGAGGGGGGGAGAGAUGGAGAUGUGGCCAGGCCCGAAGGGAAUUGAGGCUGCGCUAGAGAUUUUGAUCCCCUCCCCUGUUCUGCCACUUUACAAUUUGGCCUUGCUAUUUCUCUUCUUUCUUCCCAAGUUGGUCCUGCCAUCCAUAGCGUGGCCCCUUGAUUACUUCAAUUCUUCUCGCUCAAGUCCCUUUCUUCGCUUCUUUCCUGCCCUUCGCUCUUCUCAAUAGCCAAUUUGUCCAAAUCUUGAAGUUUAUAGUGCCUUUGCGCACUUUUCUGCAAAAUAAUCAAAUGACAAGUAAAUGAUCUUUUAUAUGAUUUUCAUUCAAAUAUAUCAUAGUUCAUAACAAGAAUGGAUUGUUGGAUCACAAUAAAUGGUGUGUUUGUGUGCCAAAAUAGUAUAUAAGAAAUGUGCUUAUCAAGUUCCUCCACAGUUAAACUUUUGCUUGUCCUCAAGCAAAGGAAUAUGACAAGAGCUAGAUAAUGAACAGUGAGCUGACUGGAGAAUGUCCCAGUGAAGUAGAUCUCCAAACAAAACAUGCUUUGGACUUAGCUAAUGAAAAUUAAUGGUUAAGAGUGCUACAGAGCAAUAGAAUACUAGUAAGCAUGACCAUUUUAAACUUUUACAAUGAUAAAAGAGGAUCAACAAGUUUAAAUGAUGACUGUGCCAAAUGGUUCCUAAAGAGAGCAUGAUCCCAAGAACAAAAUGAACUGGAAUUAAAUCUUGUGAUCAAAUCACUUAUUUACAGAGAUAAAGCAAUGAUUAUAUUAUUAUUAGUCUCACCAUAGGAACAUACCACCGAUCCCGAGAACAUGGUAUACACCUGGCUCGACCAAUUAUUAGUUUUUUGUUUGUCUCCCCAAAGGAACAUACCACCGAUCCCGAGAACAUGGUAUACACCUGGUUUGACAAUUACAUUUUUAUUUAUUUAUUACUGUCCAAGCUACCGGAUUUCACAUGCCACCGAUCCCGGGAACAUGACAUGGUACUGUAGGUAGCCGGACUUAUUUAUUCAUUAUUACUUAUCUUAAAUGAACAACACAUAAGCACAAAAAUAGGAAUCAUCACUUCUCCAUGUCUGGUUCACAUGCUACCGAUCCAGGGAACAUAGCAUGCUAAUCCAUAAUUGUUAGGUGAUUGCUCUCAAUGGGAACACAUUAGGCACAAACUCAGCAUCUGACACUUAAUGAUCUAGGUGUAUCAAGGUAAAAGCAGAAAAUGAUUAGGUUUUCUAGUGUACUAGGGAUUUGAGCACUCAAAACUAAUAGCUUUCACUAAUUUCGGCAAAGCAAGCAUUGUGUAGAUUACUAGGUUACAAGGCAUUCAACACUCACUUCACAUAUUCACAUCAAGCACCAUAUGUCAAAUAAAAUUCAGUGGGGCAACAUUUAAGGCAUGGCUUAAGCAACCCAAAUAACAUUUGAUUUCAGCAUGUAUUUAUGAUAUUCAGAAUGGAUCAUGAAACAUCUCACCGGGCUUUGAUCAUGUAGCACUCGCUCGAUCACCUCACCAGCUGCAGCUCUUCUCCCUUGCUUCCUCAUGGAUGCUCCAGCUUCACUCUUCCAUAUGUGUGCCCCAUUGCUUCUCCUCAUCGCCAUGCUCUGACUCCACCAGGAUCCCAAGGAAUGUCACCUCGAACCUGGUCAGCAUGUAGUUAACAGUGCAGUAGCAAAAGCCUGAAAUAGGACUCACACAAACAACUACAAGUGAUGCGGUCGAUGUCCUCCAAGUCAUCAAUGGAAUAUCCAAUUAUAUAAGCAUAACUAUAAAGCACAUGUUUAGGAUGGCAGAAAUCAGCGUGGUCAAUACUCACACGAGGAUGACAUUUAUCAUUAAUCUCAAGACUAGCAUGAGGAAAGUAAUUGUGAUCAUCACAAAUGAGAGCAAUGCCACCAACAGUGUAUGUAUCAUCAUAUCCAAGUAAAUGUUUUUUCAAAUCAAUCUUAAGUGAUGGCAUCAUGUAAUGCAAGGUAGAAGCAAAUAAAUCAUAAGGACUCAUGUCAUCAAGAGGAUUGGGUAAACCUGACACAUCAUGCUCAUGUAUGAUAAUAGGCCAAUGAAUCUUAGGUUCUUCAUCUUCAUCUACAGCAGCUUCUUGUACUUCUUCAGGAGUAGUAGAUGAUGAGUCUUCAACUUGAUCACUUGGGAAUUGCAGCUCUUGACCAUCUUGUUCCUUGUCUUCUAGUUCAUCUUAUUCAAUCUGAGGUAUCUCUUGCUCAAGGCACUUGCUAUCUUGCUCAACGAAAUGUGAAGGUGUUGGAACCUCACAUGUAUCCAUGGAUAUCUCACCCACACUCAACUCAAGUUGUGAAGAAAUAGUGUUGCCAGCGUUGAUGUUCUUCUCAAUAUUCCUUACUUCUUCCACUAGCUCUUUUCCACUCUCGAUCUUCUUCAUUUCCUCUAGAAUAACCUUCCUAAUAGGAUCAUCCUCGGCACUCCAAGUGAACUCAAGACUAAGCAAUGUGAGCUUGUCUAUAUCAUCAAAGUCAUCUUGUGUGGGCACUUGUGUUGAAGGUGUUGGUUGACCAAAUGGAGGACCAUUUAACUCCAUUGGCAACAUGUCCUGGUGUUGAGGUAUAUGACUAGGAGCUGAAUAAAUCUGUUGUGGAGCAUAGUUGUGGCUCUCCUCUUCAUACCUAAAUCCCUGCAUUGGAUAACUAGAGGCAAAUGAUGAGAUCUCAGGGUUAUUGCUCCUAUAUGACAUAUUCUGGUUUUCAGUCCACCCAUGUGUGUAAUUGUUUUGGUAUGAGCUAGGCUAUGGGGCGAAGUUCAUGCCAUAACAAUCGGGAAGAUGGGAGUAACCACGCUGACAUUCAGCGGGCGAAUGGCCCUGAAAUCCACAAAUAUGGCAAGUAGGAGCAACAUAAGGAUGUCCUCUGGAAUAAGGAUCGUAAGAACUAGGCCUAUCCUCAAAAACUCCUUCUCGCUGCCGAGCUAAAUCAUCUAAUCGAUGGUAAAUCUUACCUAUCAGUUCUUGAACACUUUCCAUGCUGUUUGUAGUGUUGCUCGCAUAAGCCUGAUGAUCUGAAUAGUAAGCCAUAACCGAGAAGAUAGUUCUAACCUGCAAAAAGGAAAAGAAAACAAAAAAGAUACUAACUAGAACAUGGGUUAGUGGUUAGAGAUAUAUCACAAAUAUAUGGCACAAACUAGAAAAAGAAUAAAAACCUAGUCUAUAGCCUAACACAGUCACACGAUGCUAGUCCCCGGCAACGGCGCCAAAAUGGUCGAUUGUAAGUAUAGCGGGGUUUUUACGCCACAAACUACGGAAGUCGUGUUCUCCACAGGGACUAGGAGACGGCAACUAUGCUCUGCUAAAGCUAGGUAACAUGAUAUUGGGUGGUGAAAGCACAAUAUUAAAUCUAGACUAACUAAGAGCAUCAACAAAGGAAAUGACAUAGAAGCAAAGGGAGAUGAAGAUUAUCUUCGCUUUAUCUUUUUGGUAUUUUCAUAUUAUUUUAGAAACUAAAAUAUGCAAACGGGACAUCAUCAUCGACAGAAAGGAAGUACCAAUAUAUGAUCACCAAUAAAACUAUUAGUUAUAUAUAAGAAGAAAAGCACAGAACAAAGAUAAUGGGACAAGGACAGAAAUGUUUAACACCACAUAAUUAUAUAUAUCACACAUGUAUUACAAACUGAAAAUUACGACGGCAAGUACAACACAUAGGGGAUAUAUAUAGCUAAUUAUUGAGCAUACAAACUGAGUGAUACAUGCCACGAUCCAGUUCACACAUCCACAAAUAAAGCAUAAGUCUAAAACUGAACAAGUAGGUUACUAACACUUAACAAAUCUGAAUGUUACACAUCAUAUAUGUCUCAAGUUAUUUCAGAGAGAGAGAUAGCAGUAGGUAGGUUAGCGGAAGUGUAGCAGGGGAAGUAGAGAGAGAUAGCAGGAGGAAGUUGAGGGCGGCAGCAGCAGCAGCAAGAGGAGAAGCAAAAAGGGGCGCUGGAGAUAGAGCAGCAGCAGGAGGCGCUGGAGAUGAGCAGCAGUAGCAUGGGGAUAAAGAGCAGCAGCAGUGUGGAGGGUUGAGAGAGCAGCGGGGCAAGGGGAUCAGCAGAAGGUUCAGCGAAGCAGAGGCAAGGACCAUAGAUUGAGAAGAGCAGCAGGGCCGUGGGGGACGAAGGGAGAUAGAAAGGGGGAUGGAGAGUAGUAGCAGUAGCAAAGAGGAAGAAUUGAGUGGAGAAGAGGAGAGAAGAGAGCAAAGGGUUGUCGCGCGGAGCACCAGACACUGCCUCGCCCUCGUCUGGUCAGGCACGCCGGCGUGGGCUGGAGGUGCGGUGGAGGCGCUGGUGGUGCUGAUGGUGGGAGAGGGAUUUGAUUGGUGGUCCUGGUGAGGUGCGGCGGCGAAGUGGAGCUGGUGGCGCUAGCGGCAGGAGGUGAUGGUGGCACUGGGUGUUGGUGCUGGUGGGUGGAUGGGCUGCGGAGGCGCACCACCACGCCGGCCGGGCCGUGGAGGCGGCCGGAGGUGGAGAAGGAGUGGUGAGGGGGGAGAGAGAUGGAGAUGUGGCCA
This 5676-nucleotide long non-coding RNA is filed under the name Triticum aestivum (bread wheat). Its description in RNAcentral is "long non-coding RNA (TAES_LNC015970)". Lineage: Eukaryota; Viridiplantae; Streptophyta; Magnoliopsida; Poales; Poaceae. The record is from RNAcentral.